AUUGAACGCUGGCGGCAGGCCUAACACAUGCAAGUCGAACGAGUGGCGGACGGGUGAGUAAUUUCUUGGAAACUGCCCGAUGGAGGGGUAUAACUACUGGAAACGGUAGCUAAUACCUCAUACCAUCUUAUGUGCCCAGAUGGGAUUAUCUAGGAGGUGGGGUAAAGGCUCACCUAGGCCACGAUCCCUAGCUGGUCUGAGAGGAUGACCAGCCACACUGGAACUGAGACACGGUCCAGACUCCUACGGGAGGCAGCAGUGGGGAAUAUUGCACAAUGGGCGCAAGCCUGAUGCAGCCAUGCCGCGUGUAUGAAGAAGGCCUUCGGGUUGUAAAGUACUUUCAGUGGGGAGGCGUUACCCGCAGAAGAAGCACCGGCUAACUCCGUGCCAGCAGCCGCGGUAAUAC
Molecule: ribosomal RNA, 406 nt
Filed under: uncultured bacterium
Lineage: Bacteria
Description: partial 16S ribosomal RNA
Rfam family: Bacterial small subunit ribosomal RNA
Source: RNAcentral